This 1951-nucleotide long non-coding RNA is filed under the name Homo sapiens (human). Its description in RNAcentral is "HSALNT0289848". The record is from RNAcentral. Lineage: Eukaryota; Metazoa; Chordata; Mammalia; Primates; Hominidae.
CUUCCGUGUCCCCAAACGCCCAGAGCCCGGGACACGGGCCGGCGGCCGGGUCACCAAGCCAGUUCCCGGAAUCGGCUCGCGCCGGAAUCCAGACUCGGCUUGCAAAGCCCGCUCCUGCCGUCUCUCCGCAGCGCGCCCUGCCCCCCACUGCCGGCCCUCUUAGCUUCAAAACCAAAUUUUGCCUUUCAUCCUGAGAGAUUAAUACCCCGCAGGUGAAACCGUGGAGACGGAGCUGCGGAGGCGCUGCAAGGCUCCGUGCUCCUGGAGCUUCGAGUCUAUGGUAUGAGUUAAACAGAAGGGUAUCUCCUCCAUCAGAUCUACAGGAGGGUGUCUGCUCCAUCAGACCUGGAGCUUCCAAGGCAUUUUACCCGAAGCUCCAGCACCUGGCCCAAGGCUGGGCUGUGCUGUGUCCUCAGUGAAAGAAUGGAUGAGUCACAGCUGAAUGACUGAAGAGCUGAACCAGUAGGUUUCCCUGGGGUUUCCACAGGCAGUUUCAGCCCAGGGGAAGACCCAGGGAGAUGAGGGCCACCUUGCAGGACGCUGUGGUGUGGAGGCAGCAGCCUGGGGCAGGGACUGUGCUGAGUGUCUGAGGCCGAGCCACCCCUCUGUAACCUCUAUAAUCCAUCAGGUCUCAGAGGGCCGUCCUAUGUUCAGUAAGCCAAUGCUAGCACCAUGUGACGAGGACACAGCAGUGAGCAGCUGCCCAGGCCCCUUGCACUGUGUUUGGAAAAGGAAGCUGGCUUGUUCAGGGGUCCCCAGCAGGAUGGGGGGCGGGGGCAGGGACCAUGGCAGAGCGAGAGUUCUAGGAGAGAAGCUGGUCCACCCACAGGCUCCCUGGCCUGGGUGCUGUACCAGGCAGGGUGCUGGGCAUUGUGCUGCUCACUUCCCACCCCUGGGUUGCAACUGGGGGCUGUGUGGCCUUCCCAGUCCUGUUGUGGGUGCUGUGAUUGUGCCCACCUUACAGAUGGGAAAACUGAUGCUCAGAGGCUUGAGCAACCUAGGCCAGGACCUGUCCUUAGAGGCAGAAGCAGGACUCAGAGGAAGAGCACCCUGACCACAAAGCCCCAGGUGACUUACACUGCAGGGAUGGCGCUCUCCGGGGUGUGCAGGGUGGCAGAGGUGCCUCUGCAGAGAGAUCCCUGCCUGGGACCCUUUCCUGGGGCUCUUCUGGUGCUGGGAGUGUGAGCACCACGAAAGCCCCACUACAGUCAUGCCACCCAGAGGGCGCUCUGGCCUCUUGGUCACCCGUGUCCUUCUGGCAAUGACCAAUACACUUUUUUGCCAGGGUCCAGAAAGACUCAGCCACUGGAGUCUGUAUUUCCUGAGUCGCCUCUCACUGGUAAGUCCUGAGCCCCGUUCCUUCCCAGCACCCACUCUUGGAGCAGCUCUCCAGGGCUGUGCUGUGGCUGCUGCGGUCAGGGAGAGGUCGCAUGCUCCAGCCAGGGUCUUUGGGGACUCAGUUUAGAACUAAUACGCCAAGCAAGUCGUGCUGAGUGUCUGGGCUUCUUCUAGGAAGGUAUUUCCAAUCAUCAAAUGUGCCAUUAAAAAAAAUGCAUGUCAGUUAAGUGUGCACUAAGCCUGGACCACAUGGGACAUAGUGGUUCCAAUAAACACGAAUAAGCCAGUUUUCACAUUAGAGAAAUACCAGUUUCUUGCAGAAAUGCGGUGCUUUUAAAAGAGGUUAAUUAAUAAACAGCAGGUAAUUGUUCGUGGCACGUUGUGGCAGAGGGUAAUUUUCAUUUUAGAGGAUGGAAGGGCCAAAUACCCCUCCCCACUCAGCAUUUUUCUGUAAUAAUCACCUCAGCUUCACCUCCGCCUUUCAUUUUUACAGCUGGAGCUGUUUAUCAUCGCUCCAACUUUCACUAAAAAGGAAAAACUAUCACUUAAACAAAGCCAUUGAAACCCCAGCAUCAUGUGUGGAUUUUUUAACAUAAAUAAAUCAUACAAACUA